GACGAACGCUGGCGGCGUGCUUAACACAUGCAAGUCGUACGGUAAGGCCCUAUCGGGGGUACACGAGUGGCGAACGGGUGAGUAACACGUGAGUAACCUGCCCACAACUUUGGGAUAACGCUAGGAAACUGGUGCUAAUACUGGAUAUGUGCUCCUGCUGCAUGGUGGGGGUUGGAAAGCUCCGGCGGUUGUGGAUGGACUCGCGGCCUAUCAGCUUGUUGGUGGGGUAGUGGCCUACCAAGGCGGCGACGGGUAGCCGGCCUGAGAGGGUGACCGGCCACAUUGGGACUGAGAUACGGCCCAGACUCCUACGGGAGGCAGCAGUGGGGAAUAUUGCACAAUGGGCGCAAGCCUGAUGCAGCAACGCCGCGUGCGGGAUGACGGCCUUCGGGUUGUAAACCGCUUUCAGCAGGGACGAAGCUUUUUGUGACGGUACCUGCAGAAGAAGCACCGGCUAACUACGUGC
RNAcentral lists this ribosomal RNA (466 nucleotides) under uncultured bacterium. RNAcentral's name for it is "partial 16S ribosomal RNA". It matches the Rfam family "Bacterial small subunit ribosomal RNA", at positions 28 to 508 of the family's 1533-position model. The record is from RNAcentral.